RNAcentral lists this long non-coding RNA (227 nucleotides) under Lathyrus oleraceus (garden pea). RNAcentral describes it as "Pisum sativum (pea) long non-coding RNA (PSAT_LNC028876)". Lineage: Eukaryota; Viridiplantae; Streptophyta; Magnoliopsida; Fabales; Fabaceae. The record is from RNAcentral.
AAUGUGAAAUAAAAUUCCAAGAAAAGGUCAGGUUGACCAUAACACAGUGGUCAACCUUCAUCCCAAAAAUAAAAUGCUAACAAUAAUUUUAAAUCAUAAAAAUAAAAUCAAUAAAAAAAAGGGUGUUAAAAUGGACCAUUUAGAAUAAAUAAUUAAUAUAAAAUAUUAAUAUUAAACAAAUACGAAAAUAAAAAUUAUAUAAAAUUAAAUAAAAUGCUAAGAAAAGU